RNAcentral lists this ribosomal RNA (251 nucleotides) under uncultured bacterium. RNAcentral's name for it is "partial 16S ribosomal RNA". It matches the Rfam family "Bacterial small subunit ribosomal RNA", at positions 524 to 771 of the family's 1533-position model. The record is from RNAcentral.
UACGUAGGGUGCGAGCGUUGUCCGGAAUUAUUGGGCGUAAAGAGCUCGUAGGCGGUUUGUCGCGUCGACUGUGAAAACCUACAGCUUAACUGUGGGCUUGCAGUCGAUACGGGCAGACGUUGAGUUCGGUAGGGGAGACUGGAAUUCCUGGUGUAGCGGUGAAAUGCGCAGAUAUCAGGAGGAACACCGGUGGCGAAGGCGGCAUCCUGGACCGAGAUUGACGCUGAACGGCGAAAAGCUGAGGGGAGCAA